RNAcentral lists this ribosomal RNA (253 nucleotides) under uncultured bacterium. Its description in RNAcentral is "partial 16S ribosomal RNA". It matches the Rfam family "Bacterial small subunit ribosomal RNA", at positions 524 to 776 of the family's 1533-position model. The record is from RNAcentral.
UACGAAGGGGGCUAGCGUUGCUCGGAAUUACUGGGCGUAAAGCGCACGUAGGCGGAUACUUAAGUCAGGGGUGAAAUCCCGGGGCUCAACCCCGGAACUGCCUUUGAUACUGGGGAUCUCGAGUCCGGGAGAGGUGAGUGGAACUGCGAGUGUAGAGGUGAAAUUCGUAGAUAUUCGCAAGAACACCAGUGGCGAAGGCGGCUCACUGGCCCGGAACUGACGCUGAGGUGCGAAAGCGUGGGGAGCAAACAGG